AUAUGAGGCCUCGUAAUCGGAAUGAGUACACUUUAAAUACUUUAACGAGGAACAAUUGGAGGGCAAGUCUGGUGCCAGCAGCCGCGGUAAUUCCAGCUCCAAUAGCGUAUACUAAAAUUGUUGCGGUUAAAAAGCUCGUAGUUGCACCUGUGCGCCGCGCUGUCGGUGCACCGCAUCCGCGGUGACCACUGGCACGUCGCGGGGCAUCGCGUCGGUGAGACUCCGGUAAAACGGAGGCUCAAUUGAAACAAUCCUAUCGCGGUGCUCUUAACCGAGUGUCGAGGUGGGCCGACAAUACUUACUUUGAACAAAUUAGAGUGCUCAAAGCGGGCUAAAAACGCCGCUCGAAUAUUUUUUGCAUGGAAUAAUGGAAUACGACCUCGGUUCUAUUUUGUUGGUUCUCGGAAUCCGAGGUAAUGAUUAAUAGGAACAACUGGGGGCAUUCGUAUUGCGACGUUAGAGGUGAAAUUCUUGGAUCGUCGCAAGACGGACUACAGCGAAAGCAUUUGCCAAAGGUGUUUUCAUCAAUCAAGAACGAAAGUUAGAGGUUCGAAGGCGAUUAGAUACCGCCCUAGUUCUAACCAUAAACGUUGCCACCUGGCGAUCCGCCGACGUUACUAUAAUGGCUCGGCGGGCGGCCUCCGGGAAACCAAAGUUUUUGGGCUCCGGGGGGAGUAUGGUUGCAAAGCUGAAACUUAAAGGAA
Molecule: ribosomal RNA, 704 nt
Filed under: Issikiocrania japonicella
Lineage: Eukaryota; Metazoa; Arthropoda; Insecta; Lepidoptera; Eriocraniidae
Also listed under: 2 other names
Description: SSU rRNA
Rfam family: Eukaryotic small subunit ribosomal RNA
Source: RNAcentral